RNAcentral lists this ribosomal RNA (389 nucleotides) under uncultured bacterium. Its description in RNAcentral is "bacterial SSU rRNA". It matches the Rfam family "Bacterial small subunit ribosomal RNA", at positions 28 to 416 of the family's 1533-position model. The record is from RNAcentral.
GACGAACGCUGGCGGCGUGCUUAACACAUGCAAGUCGAACGGUGACGAGGAGCUUGCUCCUCUGAUCAGUGGCGAACGGGUGAGUAACACGUGAGCAACCUGCCCCAGACUCUGGGAUAACAGUUGGAAACAGCUGCUAAUACCGGAUACGAGACGGAGAGGCAUCUCUACCGUCUGGAAAGUUUUUUCGGUCUGGGAUGGACUCGCGGCCUAUCAGCUAGUUGGUGAGGUAAUGGCUCACCAAGGCGACGACGGGUAGCCGGCCUGAGAGGGCGACCGGCCACACUGGGACUGAGACACGGCCCAGACUCCUACGGGAGGCAGCAGUGGGGAAUAUUGCACAAUGGGCGAAAGCCUGAUGCAGCGACGCCGCGUGAGGGAUGACGGCC